This is a long non-coding RNA of Anguilla anguilla (European eel), 3092 nucleotides long. RefSeq lists it as uncharacterized. The transcript has 4 exons. NCBI's taxonomy places the organism in Eukaryota, Metazoa, Chordata, Actinopteri, Anguilliformes, Anguillidae. The record is from RefSeq and is a predicted model, not a curated record.
AUAAGGUUGCAGAAAGAACUGUGCUGUUGCUUGUUGCACAAAAAGAGAUAUUUUAAGACCUAGGAGUGUUGCGUGUUCCGAGGGGCUUAUUAAGGCAGCGAUACAACGACAGGGUGUAAAAGGCAAACUUCAGUCAGUAGAGAGUGGGGACAAUUGGAUCAGAAACCAAAGGGAUUAAUGCCAGAGCAAAGAACGUUUACACGCUGGACGACGCCAACAGACCCGAGCUGAGUCAUUUAACAGCUUCUUACAUCUGAUCUAUCUACUACUUUGAGCCUCAAAGUGAAUUAUCUCUGACCAUUAUCAAAAGAAACUUGUGAAGGCGAUGUGUGAAGUACAGAAGGUGGCUCAGAGGAACCCAGGCAGCGUGUUCAUUUGUGGCUGAUCCCUGCCCUUAUCAGCCGAUUCCCUCCAAGAAAGCCCAAAUCGAUCAACAACGUCGAAAGUUGCUUACUUCAAGAGGAAAUAUGCGGAAGAGGAGGAUGUACAAAGAGACAUUCAUGGCUAUUUUCAGAGACACCUGAUACUGCCAGAGGACCGCAGCUGCAUCCUCAAACUCUCCAUGGAGAAGCUGAGGUUCCUGGAGGACCCAGAGACCUACUUACGGCGCUCCGUGCUCAUCAACAACCUGCUGCGGAAGAUCCACCAUGAGGAGGAGGAGAUGGAGGAAGGGCAGGGAGCUUGCGGCAGAGUGCCCGGCCAGAGCCUGCUCUACUCGGACAGGAAGAGGCUGAAGUUGGUGGUGGCAGACUGCUGCUCCCAGGCCUUUGGGUACGAAGAGAUACAGCACUACCAUGUCGUACCCUACAGCUCCACCAGCUACCUUUACAGACUGGGCGGCUACCCCAGUGCCAUGCCUGAGCACAGCACUAAAGUCCUGGUCUAUAAACUGGAUGAUAACGGGUGAGCGGGUUUCUUGCUACCUACGCAUGGAAAGAAACAGAUACUCACCCACACACCUGCACACAUUCAAACAACAUUUGGUCACAGCCUGAGAUUGCUGCAGCGUGGGCUGCUUCAUUGAGUGCCUGUGCAGGCAGCCUCUUAACGUUCCGAAACGGUUGUUCUUAUUGGGCUUAAAAGACAUUUAUGCUAUGAAUGUACAGUAACAAUCCAAAUCACCAUCAGCUUGUUUUAAAAGGACACAUUGACAUUGAAGAUUCACUGCCAUGGAAUAUCAGAAUAACAAAUAACUUUAUAACUAGACUGUUUUGCGGCUAGAACCGGUAUAAUUUUCAGGGAUAAUUUUUUCAGUGUGGUUAUUCAAACCAUUGCUAUAUCAUUAAUGUACUUGUUUGAGAACAACGGAUACGUCUGAAUUAUCAUAGCUAUAAAUCACAAUUGUGAUGGUUCUGAGUGAAGUUUCGUAGUGUACAAUCUCAUGCUUUCUGCGUUUCACAUUGUGAAAAGCCAUAUUUGUGUUAAGACAGAAUAAAUAAUGUUUCAGAAAAAUCUUCUAUUACAAAUACUUUGGAAAUAUGACAGAAAAUCGUAUAUAGUAAAUGCUUGUGAACUAUGGGAGAGAAGACACUAAGUCAAAUGAUAACAACAUUCAUAGGAACAGGUUUCAGAAGUGUAAAUUGUUGCAUUGCAGCAAUCAGUUUCAUUGUGGUUUAGUUUUUUGAACAGAGGCACAGAAUGUAUAUAUCGUAGACCCGAGGAGACAACACAGCAGUACAAAGCCAGCACAAAUUCAGUAUAAUAAUUUUUUCUUGUCGAUGUUUGUACUGUGAAACUGAAGAGGAAUUAAUUUGGAAAUGUAACAGUGGUAGAGGCACAUGCAGCCACACACUUACUAAUUGCAUUGUGCUGCCCUCUACUGAUGACAGUUUUACAGGUGAGUCUGAAUUUUCAUUGCAGAUUUGCACUACAGGAAUAGCCGGUAAAUCUAUUCUUUUCUUGCUAUACAAAUGGCACGGGGUCAUUUCGGAGGUUAUAUCUGUCAUGUUGUCAUUCUUUCCCUCUGACUACUGUGUGUCACAAUCCCUAAACUUUUCUGUCUUCUGGAUUCAUGUAAUCUUUUUGUUCUGUACAGCUAUACUAUUUACAUAUUGAAAAGCCACACUCUUCAGUACUACUGACUUCAUAGUGAAACCUCAAAGCGUGUUCCCUGUGAUUACUUUUUUGUUAGUUGUAAAAAUUGAUAAGCAUCGUUUUUUAGGCUGUGCACGUGAGGUGACAGGCCUUGAGAUUGACAAGCACAUCUUGACGUUGUGUGUUUAUUCCCUUACAGAGUCAAACCAAAGACUUUAAAAUAGGUAUUUGCUGACUCUUUGCCUGUAAAGAUGCAACGAUUUAAAGGAGAAUAAAACUCCAACCCACAGUUUUCUGGGUCAUAGUGAAUACAGAUAGGUGGGCCUGCCAGCCACAGGUUGCAGGUACAGGCCACUGCACCCACAGGGGAAUGCUUCUUAGGGAAAGCUGCUAUGGUGUUGCUGUGAUGGAAUUCUCAUUUCUGCACUUUUUGAAGCCAGAGCAGAUCUAAGAUCUCUGGUCCAAGUCUCUGAGUUCUCUGUUUUUUAUUUCAUUUAUAUAUGCUCUGUACUAUGUCGUUUGUCGGAAGAUUUCUUGUUCCUGCCAAAAUCAAGUUUGAUAUAAGUUUGUGGAUUGUUUGAAAAUUUUUUGAGAGAUGGAUACCAUAAUGUAUGAUUGUUUAGGAUUAUAUGGUGAUAAAUUACAUUGAUUUAAUUUAAAUUACAACUACGUGGAAUAAAAAUAAAACAAUAAUGCCAUAUUUGAAUACUUGUGCGGACAACAAUUUUUCUGUAAUUAUGUACAGAGUGUCAAAGUCAUUGUUAUUUUGAUAUAUGUCAGUGUGAUUCUAAUCAGUUUUUUGAAAAGUGACCCAAAAGUGCUAUGAAAAUGACUCAUUCGGUAAUUAUACAGUUGGUAAUAUUUUUCUGAAUUAAAAAUUAAAUGCAAAAUAUUUUACUCUAUGAAAUUAUUUUUUGAAGAGAGUAACUGUUCAAUAUUUCUUCAAAAUAUUCUUAAAAAAUAAUGUUAUUUUGGCACAUGUAUUGGAAAAGUAGCAUCAAUGAUCUGCCUUAUUUUCAAGGAUGUUUACUAUCAAAUAAAAUUUUAAAACAUUAAAA